This 752-nucleotide unclassified non-coding RNA is filed under the name Hevea brasiliensis (rubber tree). The record is from RNAcentral. Lineage: Eukaryota; Viridiplantae; Streptophyta; Magnoliopsida; Malpighiales; Euphorbiaceae.
AGCAUUAUCAGUUGGCUCUCCAUCCCCGUAAGUUGCCACCAUGAAAAAUGCAAGUGUCUCUUUCUUCAGUUUCUCCUCGUAAAUAUCAUCAUCGGCAGCAUAAUCAUCCAUGUCCACAACUUUCACAACUGCCUUCUCAUAUCUUGCUUUUAUCUCCUCUGAUAAAGCCUUGGCAAAACCCUCAGCAGUACCAGUUUGAGUACCGAAAAAUACGGUGACCUUAACUUUUCCAGGUUCUAGCUCAGUCUCCUCCUCCGGCUCCACAUGUAAGGACUUGGGGAACACCACAGGCUUCACUUCUUUACUUCGAUCACUUGAUCUCUUCAAGAAGAACACUACUAAUCCAACGAUGACCGCGAACGACGUCGUAAGUAGCACCAACACCGUAUCACUCCCCAACGACACUCCCAAUGCCGAUUCAAUCGAUCUCAACAACUCCAAACUCGACUCCAUUUCCUAUACCUCUCUGAUACAAACACGAAAAAGUAGUUGUAUAUAAGUAGAUAAGUAGUUGUUGACUGUUUGGUAGUUGAGAUUUUGAUACACAAACAGCCAAACCACGGUGUUAACAGUACGGUUUUGGAGCGAAGGAGGAGGACGGCGGCUGAUCGGAGAAAGACGGCGGAGCAGACGGAGGAGGAAGGAGGAGAUUCCGGUCUGCUACUGCUGCCGCUGUGGUGGUGAGUUUAUUGUGUGUAAGAUUUUGACUAGAAGCUAUCUUGGGCCCUGUUAAGGCUCUGUUUGGAUUGAUU